Molecule: non-coding RNA, 1545 nt
Organism: Macaca mulatta (Rhesus monkey)
Lineage: Eukaryota; Metazoa; Chordata; Mammalia; Primates; Cercopithecidae
Source: RefSeq, a predicted model, not a curated record
UGUUUUAGUCAAUAUUUUUAUGUUUAUCCACAUAUUCAUGAUUCCUAGGGUUUUCAUUUCUUCCAGUAUUUCAUGGUUCCAUCUUUGUUUAUUCCCAUUUAGCCUGAGGAACUUCCUUGCAUGUGUCUCAUAGUGUGGGAUUGCUGGCAACAAAUUCUCUCAGUUUUUGUUUGUCUGAAUGCAGGUUUAUUUCACUUUCAUUUUUGAUGGGUAUUUUCACUGGUAUUGAAGUUUAUUUCAGUAUUUUAAAAAUAACAUUCCAGUCUUCCUGACUUCUGUCAUUUCUAUUGAGCAAUCAGACAUAAGCCUAUUGUUGACUCAGAGUAACUUCUUUCUCUAGUAGAUAUGGACAGAAGAGAGAAAAUGUUCAUGGAAAAGUAAAAGGCAAUGUUCUUUAUUAUUCCCAAUUACUUUUCUUCUCUAAAAUAUUUUAUUUAGAUUCUCUUGUUAUUGUAAAGUUUAUUUUAUUAAGAGAAUCUUUCUCCUGUAGAAAAAUACUUCAGAGAAAAUGCCUAGUAUUUACAAGUAAUCUGUGACCAUCAAUACUUCCAAGGAGAUGAUGUGCUUCAGUGACUUCCGUGUCCCUGAUAAUUUUCCCAAGUACAUGCACAGCUCCAAACUCAGGACUACUUCAGGAUGCAUGCCACACACUUUGGCCUCCUCGAUUACAUUGGUUUUAAGACCAAAGUGCAAAGUGUGAGGAAGCACCCAGAUUUUUCUGUCAAUGGACAAUGAGAUGUUGUUGUGGAGACUGAAGAGAAGCAAGAGACUUUGGUCUUUGAUGGGGUCUUAGUCUGCAGUGUACACCACACAGAUCCCUACUUACCACUUCAGUCCUUCCCAGGCAUUGAGAAGUUUGAAGGCUGUUAUUUCCAUAGUCGGGAAUACAAAAGUCCUGAGGACUUUUCAGGGGAAAGAAUCAUAGUGAUUGGCACCGGAAAUUCUGGAGUGGAUGUUGCGGUGGAGCUCAGUUGUAUAGCAAAACAGAUUUGACCAGGAGGAACUGAGAUUCAACAUCCUCAAGACUGCAAAAGCACCUAUAAUCAAACAACUUAAUAUAUUUCCUAAUUUUAUCAGCAUGCAGACAAGUUUACAAAUACAUUAUAGAAAGAUUUGAAGAGUGAUUCUGGUUACGUUCAGUUAAGCAGGAUGCUAAUCCUGAACGAUCUGAUGUAUUAAAGUUUUUAAUGUUUGUAUCUUUGUUUUGAUGCAUACAAUAUAGUGGAAGUCUAUAGUAGUUAAUAUGAUGAUAAUCGCUUCUAAAUUUAAAUCCUUAUUUAUAUAUGAAGCAUAGCUAUGUCUAUGUCCAAGAAAGAAUUUUAAAAUAGUAAAUCAGAAACUUGUAAACUAGUGAAUACAAUUUUCUAUUUUUCAUUCAGAAAUUUGUUGUCAUAGACACAGCCUUUAACUGGAAAUCAGUAGACAGGUCUGGUCAAGCACAGCAUAGCAACCACUGUGUAGUAUUUUACUACCUAAUCCUCAGUAGCCCACACUGUUAAAUCUGCGCAAUGAGUAGCAUAUGAAUAAAAAUAAUAUCAUGUAAAA